UGGGGAAUAUUGCACAAUGGGCGCAAGCCUGAUGCAGCCAUGCCGCGUGUAUGAAGAAGGCCUUCGGGUUGUAAAGUACUUUCAGUCGGGAGGAAGGUGUCAAGGUUAAUAACCUUGGCAAUUGACGUUACCGACAGAAGAAGCACCGGCUAACUCCGUGCCAGCAGCCGCGGUAAUACGGAGGGUGCAAGCGUUAAUCCGAAUUACUGGGCGUAAAGCGCUCGCAGGCGGUUGAUUGAGUCAGAUGUGAAAUCCCCGGGCUUAACCCGGGAAUUGCAUCUGAUACUGGUCAGCUAGAGUCUUGUAGAGGGGGGUAGAAUUCCAUGUGUAGCGGUGAAAUGCGUAGAGAUGUGGAGGAAUACCGGUGGCGAAGGCGGCCCCCUGGACAAAGACUGACGCUCAGGUGCGAAAGCGUGGGGAGCAAACAGG
This 429-nucleotide ribosomal RNA is filed under the name Chloroflexota bacterium. RNAcentral's name for it is "Chloroflexi bacterium partial 16S ribosomal RNA". It matches the Rfam family "Bacterial small subunit ribosomal RNA", at positions 355 to 776 of the family's 1533-position model. The record is from RNAcentral. Lineage: Bacteria; Bacillati; Chloroflexota.